Molecule: unclassified non-coding RNA, 190 nt
Filed under: fungal sp.
Lineage: Eukaryota; Fungi
Also listed under: 1 other name
Description: partial internal transcribed spacer region
Rfam family: Eukaryotic small subunit ribosomal RNA (bases 1-46)
Source: RNAcentral
AAGUCGUAACAAGGUUUCCGUAGGUGAACCUGCGGAAGGAUCAUUAACAAAUUCAAAACACACUUGUGUUAGUUGGAGGACCGGCAACGGUAGGACAACUAAUUACACACACACACACCUUUGAUUGACAACACCUAGUGAUCUAGAAAUUAAUUGUAGACAACUUUUAACAAUGGAUCUCUUGGCUCUU